RNAcentral lists this small nuclear RNA (23 nucleotides) under Arabidopsis thaliana (thale cress). RNAcentral describes it as "snRNA_02923". Lineage: Eukaryota; Viridiplantae; Streptophyta; Magnoliopsida; Brassicales; Brassicaceae. The record is from RNAcentral.
GUCGAUAAGUAAACAUGGUUCUU